RNAcentral lists this ribosomal RNA (474 nucleotides) under uncultured bacterium. RNAcentral describes it as "SSU rRNA". It matches the Rfam family "Bacterial small subunit ribosomal RNA", at positions 26 to 518 of the family's 1533-position model. The record is from RNAcentral.
AGGACGAACGCUGGCGGCGUGCUUAACACAUGCAAGUCGAGCGGAAAGGCCCUUCGGGGUACUCGAGCGGCGAACGGGUGAGUAACACGUGGGUAAUCUGCCCCUAGCUCUGGGAUAGCUCCGGGAAACCGGGAUUAAUACCGGAUAUGACCACUUUAGACAUCUGUUGUGGUGGAAAGAAUUUCGGCUAGGGAUGAGCUCGCGGCCUAUCAGCUUGUUGGUGGGGUAACGGCCUACCAAGGCGACGACGGGUAGCCGGCCUGAGAGGGCGACCGGCCACACUGGGACUGAGACACGGCCCAGACUCCUACGGGAGGCAGCAGUGGGGAAUAUUGCGCAAUGGGCGAAAGCCUGACGCAGCGACGCCGCGUGGGGGAUGAAGGCCUUCGGGUUGCAAACCCCUUUCAGCAGGGACGAAGCGAAAGUGACGGUACCUGCAGAAGAAGCGCCGGCUAACUACGUGCCAGCAGCCGC